RNAcentral lists this long non-coding RNA (327 nucleotides) under Panax ginseng (ginseng). RNAcentral describes it as "long non-coding RNA (PGIN_LNC007430)". Lineage: Eukaryota; Viridiplantae; Streptophyta; Magnoliopsida; Apiales; Araliaceae. The record is from RNAcentral.
CAACAAAUUAUCGUUAGUCUUCAACAGGGAAAAAUUUAAUAGAAUACAAUAGACAACAAGUUUUAAAUCAAUACUCGCAGCGGAAAAUAUUAAUUCAUAGAAGAGUUACGUAGAGGAUGAAAUCUACUAAUAUAUAUGAAUUUAACAGUCCAUCAUCAAUAUUUUUAUCCCUGUAACAUCAAUCAAUAUAUAUCUGGAAUCAUAUAUUCAUCCUUGCACUACAGGCCAAGGACAUUCACCAGUUGGUCAUGUUCAUCUAAACACCUGUUCAUCUUUGCACUACGGGCCAAAGAUAUUCAUCAGAAAUCAUUCAUCUUUGCACUACAG